Molecule: long non-coding RNA, 621 nt
Organism: Pseudopodoces humilis (Tibetan ground-tit)
Lineage: Eukaryota; Metazoa; Chordata; Aves; Passeriformes; Paridae
Source: RefSeq, a predicted model, not a curated record
UUGUGCUUUGCUGCCCCACUUGUGCCACUGAUGCUGGGUCUGCCUGUUCCAGGUCAUGGCAAACACUUGGACAUCUCUUCCUGCAGCGGCUGGAGAACUGUCCUGGCCCCUAGGGACCAGAGGGGACCAUGCAGCUUGAUCCCCCUUCUCCUGGCACUCCAGUUCCUGAUGAAAUGUCCCUGUCCAGCUUCCCUGUAGCUCCUGCAGACUCUGGAAGGGGCUCUGAGGUGUCCACACACCCUUCCCUUCUCCAGGCUGAGCAGCCCCAGCUCUCCCAGCCUGGCUCCAGAGGGGAGGUGCUCCAGGUCCCUAUGACAGCCAUAUAUAGAGACUUCCAGAGGGCCCUGCCUCUCCAAGCAGCUCCUAAGGAUGGUCCAUUUCUGGAACUCUUCAUCUGUGUGAGGCUGUACCACAGCUGCUGUUCCCAGCGUGAGGGGCUUGGUCCCAGGACCCCAGGAAUGGCUGGAGCUGUGCCAGGGGAGGAUCAGAAUGAGGAUCACAGGAUGGAGACUGGCAAAGUCCGGAGCCUCUGUAGCGGGACGGGAAGGCAGAGUCUUACAGGAGGAAUGCCAAAGGGUGUGCGAGCAUAUAGACAAAUGGCUGGUGGAUUAAUUUCUUGGA